RNAcentral lists this ribosomal RNA (460 nucleotides) under uncultured bacterium. Its description in RNAcentral is "partial 16S ribosomal RNA". It matches the Rfam family "Bacterial small subunit ribosomal RNA", at positions 338 to 795 of the family's 1533-position model. The record is from RNAcentral.
CCUACGGGAGGCAGCAGUGAGGAAUAUUGGUCAAUGGACGAGAGUCUGAACCAGCCAAGUCGCGUGUAUGAUGAAGGCCCUAUGGGUUUUAAACUUCUUUUAUAAGGGAAUAAAACGAGGCGCGUGUGCCUUUUGGCGUUUACUUUAUGAAUAAGGAUCGGCUAAGUCCGUGCCAGCAGCCGCGGUGAUACGGAGGAUCCGAGCGUUAUCCGGAUUUAUUGGGUUUAAAGUGAGCGUAGAUGGGUUGUUAAGUCAGUUGUGAAAGUUUGCGGCUCAACCGUAAAAUUGCAAUUGAUACUGGCAGUCUUGAGUAUAGUUGAGGGAGGCAGAAUUCGAGGUGUAGCGGUGAAAUGCUUAGAGAUGACGAAGAAUCCCGAUUGCGAAGGCAGCUUCCUAAAAUGUGACUGACAUUGAUGCUCGAAAGUGUGGGUAUCAAACAGGAUUAGAUACCCUGGUAGUC